UGUCCUUGUUUGAAGACCAGAGAGGGCCCUGCACAUGGAGAAAGUAUAAAUCCGUCCGGAAAAUCUUUUCAGUGUGGUGACGAAAUAUGGCAGACUGCGUAGAUCAAGACUCCCACACCUCGAUAGAGUCUGUCAUAAACUUCCCGUCUGUAACCACAUAAAACCAUCAGUAAAUUUAUAUCUGGACACCACAUCGAGAGACCCAUUCAGUGGGUCAUUGUAUUAGUUUGGAGUUAAUUCCCCAGACAACGGCUGGCUGAGGACUAAGGACCUGCAUAGUGUCACUGAGUGAUGUUGGUUUAGGAUAAUUUGUACCAGUUACAGGAAAUCCCACCUAGUCCAGAUGACAACACUUCUGGCUCUGUCCCCACUGAUGAUGUCACUUCCUCUGCUGUAAAGCUUCCAUCUUUGUGCUAUCAAACAAGGAUACAAUAAUCAAGAAAAAAUAUUAUAUAUAACCACAAUUGUGGAUGAAGUGAGCUUCUUCUGCAUCCCCGAUGAUAUAUGCAAAUAUGAGAAAAAAAAGUUGCCUUUCUUUAUGAGCAUGGAAGGAUUUAUGAAGCAUUGUACUUGGCCAAGUUAUUUGAAAAUAUUGAGAAAACAUUGCACGUGAGUGGGUCACAUGUUUUAAUUGAUUUUUGCACUGCUGCAGGACAGGUUUCUCUCUAAAGAACUAUGUAUUAUUUUUAGAAAGAAGACAACUGAGGAAGCUACGCACAGGAAAAGCUGUGGGACCAGAUACAGUCAGUUCUCGAGGUAUUAAGGCCUGUGCUGGCCUUUGUGAUGUCCUCUAUCACCUGUUCAGUCUGUCCCUAAGACUCCAGAAACUGCUGCUGCCAUGGAAAACAUCCUGCCUUGUUCCUGUUCCUAAGAAGGCAGGCCUCUUCACCUGAUGACUGCAGACCAGUGGCACUUAUGUCUCACAUCAUGAAGAUCUUUGUGAGACUGGUCCCGUGACUAUACAAUUCCUCUUGUACUAGACCACCUUGAGCCACUAUAGUUUGACUAUUGGACAAAAAUUGGAGUGGAGGAUGCAAUUAUCUCUCUGCUCCACAAGGCUUAUUCUCGCCUGGAAAAAGCUGGUAGCACUAUGAGGAUUUUGUUUUUUGCUGGUGGAAGAGCCUAUGAUGUCCAGGAUAAUGGACUUAUGUUGGGCAGACCAUAGUUUGUGAGAGUCAGGGACUGUGUUUCUGAUACAGAUGUGAGCAACACUAAGGUGCCACAAGGAACAACCCUGUCUCCUUUUUUCUUCACUCUGUAAACAUUAAACAUAACACCAGGUCAUGUCACUUGCAGAAAUUCUCAGAUGCUGCUGCACUUAUGGGGUGUACUGAUAAGUGGGAUGAGAUAGAGUAGAAGAGUCAGGUGGAGAACUUUGCUUCUUGGUGCAAAAAGAACUGUCUGCAACUUAACAUCAGCAAAACCAAGGAA
Molecule: long non-coding RNA, 1431 nt
Organism: Polypterus senegalus (gray bichir)
Lineage: Eukaryota; Metazoa; Chordata; Cladistia; Polypteriformes; Polypteridae
Exons: 5
Source: RefSeq, a predicted model, not a curated record